GAUUUGAUUGAUUGAAUCCAGCUCAGAAAACGUAUCCUGUUAGCAUAACCGAUGUGCAAAUAGAGCCUUAUCCAGUGACGGCUGGAUCAACUGCGAGCUUCACUAUCAAGGCUCGUACUGGUGAAAUGAUAAAUGGAGGUAAAUUGAAACUUGUGGUAUUGUUCUUAGGGGUGAGAGUUCAUUCAGAAACAUAUGAUAUUUGUGAGAAAGUGGCUUGCCCUAUAUCAAUUGGAAAAUUUCGCAUAUCUCACACACAAACUUUACCUGGAAUCACACCAUCUGGUGUUUAUAAGCUAAAGAUGACGAUCACAGAUGAGAAGAGAACUCAACUGACUUGCAUCAGCUUCAAAUUCAAUAUCGGCCAUGGCCCUCGACAAGCAUCAAUCAUCUAGAACUCUACUUAUUCCUCACGAUUGUUUGUUUGUUUCAUUGUAAUGUUCAUAUAAGAGCUUACUUACUUACUUAAUUAAUUAAUGGCCGAAGAAGUUCUUUGGCAUCAGAUUUGAA
Molecule: long non-coding RNA, 507 nt
Organism: Impatiens glandulifera
Lineage: Eukaryota; Viridiplantae; Streptophyta; Magnoliopsida; Ericales; Balsaminaceae
Exons: 3
Source: RefSeq, a predicted model, not a curated record